Molecule: long non-coding RNA, 182 nt
Organism: Orcinus orca (killer whale)
Lineage: Eukaryota; Metazoa; Chordata; Mammalia; Artiodactyla; Delphinidae
Exons: 3
Source: RefSeq, a predicted model, not a curated record
GGCAGAUGGAUCAUCCUUUGUUCAGGUUGACUCAUGAUCACAAGAUGGCUGCUGGUGCUUCAACCAUUGCAUUCAAAUUCUGAACAGAAAGACAAAAGAAAGGGGAAAGGGGAGAAGGGUGCUUGCCUCCCAGAAAGAUGUACUGGAGGGCUUUGAGGACACAGUAGAACUUGGCCUAGUGG